Long non-coding RNA from Canis lupus familiaris (dog), 274 nucleotides. RefSeq lists it as uncharacterized. The record is from RefSeq and is a predicted model, not a curated record. The transcript is spliced from 3 exons. Lineage: Eukaryota; Metazoa; Chordata; Mammalia; Carnivora; Canidae.
CCUGUACCCAGAGCUCCACAGGUGAAGCAGCAGUUAAAGUAAAAAAAUCUAAUUUGUCUUCUGGAGGUUUCCGUCUCUAAUGGACUCCGGGGUCAUCCUUCCGAGCUGUCAGCAUACAUUUGAGCACCAGAUGGACUGGACUUUGGGAGAGAAAAUGGUCAGUGGCGCCAAACCAACCAGGCACUGAGAAAACUUCUCCAGUGCUGUUUCCGAACAAGCACAAAGUCACACACAGAGAGAGAGAGGCAGAGACAUAGGCAGAGGGAGAAGCAGG